RNAcentral lists this ribosomal RNA (524 nucleotides) under uncultured bacterium. RNAcentral's name for it is "partial 16S ribosomal RNA". It matches the Rfam family "Bacterial small subunit ribosomal RNA", at positions 28 to 523 of the family's 1533-position model. The record is from RNAcentral.
GACGAACGCUGGCGGCGUGCCUAAUACAUGCAAGUCGAGCGCAGGAAGCUGACGGAACUCUUCGGAGGGAAGGCAGCGGAAUGAGCGGCGGACGGGUGAGUAACACGUAAGGAACCUGCCUCAAGGAUUGGGAUAACUCCGAGAAAUCGGAGCUAAUACCGGAUAGUUCAACGGACCGCAUGGUCCGCUGAUGAAAGGCGCUCCGGCGUCCACUUGAGAUGGCCUUGCGGUGCAUUAGCUAGUUGGUGGGGUAACGGCCCACGAAGGCGACGAUGCAUAGCCGACCUGAGAGGGUGAUCGGCCACACUGGGACUGAGACACGGCCCAGACUCCUACGGGAGGCAGCAGUAGGGAAUCUUCCACAAUGGACGAAAGUCUGAUGGAGCAACGCCGCGUGAGUGAUGAAGGUUUUCGGAUCGUAAAACUCUGUUGUAAGGGAAGAACACGUACGAGAGGAAAUGCUCGUACCUUGACGGUACCUUACGAGAAAGCCACGGCUAACUACGUGCCAGCCGCCGCAGUAA